Molecule: small nucleolar RNA, 129 nt
Organism: Rattus norvegicus (Norway rat)
Lineage: Eukaryota; Metazoa; Chordata; Mammalia; Rodentia; Muridae
Product: small nucleolar RNA SNORA17
Source: Ensembl
CCUGCCCUUAGAGGUACCAGUGCAGCUGCUGUGUCACACGUGUGGCCAUAGGUGGCAGAGAGAAGAGAGGCUGUGUCUACACUCAGUGCUCUGACCUGUGAACAUCUGAAUGAUUAGUAGCCUAACACU